GAACGGGUGAGUACACGUGGGUGAUCUGCCCUGCACUUUGGGAUAAGCCUGGGAAACUGGGUCUAAUACCGAAUAGGACCACGCGCUUCAUGGUGUGUGGUGGAAAGCUUUUGCGGUGUGGGAUGNGNNNGCGGCCUAUCAGCUUGUUGGUGGGGUAAUGGCCUACCAAGGCGACGACGGGUAGCCGGCCUGAGAGGGUGACCGGCCACACUGGGACUGAGAUACGGCCCAGACUCCUACGGGAGGCAGCAGUGGGGAAUAUUGCACAAUGGGCGCAAGCCUGAUGCAGCGACGCCGCGUGAGGGAUGACGGCCUUCGGGUUGUAAACCUCUUUCAAUAGGGACGAAGCGCAAGUGACGGUACCUAUAGAAGAAGCACCGGCCAACUACGUGCCAGCAGCCGCGGUAAUACGUAGGGUGCGAGCGUUGUCCGGAAUUACUGGGCGUAAAGAGCUCGUAGGUGGUUUGUCGCGUUGUUCGUGAAAACUCACAGCUUAACUGUGGGCGUGCGGGCGAUACGGGCAGACUAGAGUACUGCAGGGGAGACUGGAAUUCCUGGUGUAGCGGUGGAAUGCGCAGAUAUCAGGGGGAACACCGGUGGCGAAGGCGGGUCUCUGGGCAGUAACUGACGCUGAGGAGCGAAAGCGUGGGGAGCGAACAGGAUUAGAUACCCUGGUAGUCCACGCCGUAAACGGUGGGUACUAGGUGUGGGUUCCUUCCUUGGGAUCCGUGCCGUAGCUAACGCAUUAAGUACCCCGCCUGGGGAGUACGGCCGCAAGGCUAAAACUCAAAGGAAUUGACGGGGGCCCGCACAAGCGGCGGAGCAUGUGGAUUAAUUCGAUGCAACGCGAAGAACCUUACCUGGGU
RNAcentral lists this ribosomal RNA (866 nucleotides) under uncultured bacterium. Its description in RNAcentral is "bacterial SSU rRNA". It matches the Rfam family "Bacterial small subunit ribosomal RNA", at positions 100 to 980 of the family's 1533-position model. The record is from RNAcentral.